GCAGUCGAACGAGUUCUCGUUGAUGAUCGGUGCUUGCACCGAGAUUCAACAUGGAACGAGUGGCGGACGGGUGAGUAACACGUGGGUAACCUGCCCUUAAGUGGGGGAUAACAUUUGGAAACAGAUGCUAAUACCGCAUAGAUCCAAGAACCGCAUGGUUCUUGGCUGAAAGAUGGCGUAAGCUAUCGCUUUUGGAUGGACCCGCGGCGUAUUAGCUAGUUGGUGAGGUAAUGGCUCACCAAGGCGAUGAUACGUAGCCGAACUGAGAGGUUGAUCGGCCACAUUGGGACUGAGACACGGCCCAAACUCCUACGGGAGGCAGCAGUAGGGAAUCUUCCACAAUGGACGCAAGUCUGAUGGAGCAACGCCGCGUGAGUGAAGAAGGCUUUCGGGUCGUAAAACUCUGUUGUUGGAGAAGAAUGGUCGGCAGAGUAACUGUUGUCGGCGUGACGGUAUCCAACCAGAAAGCCACGGCUAACUACGUGCCAGCAGCCGCGGUAAUACGUAGGUGGCAAGCGUUAUCCGGAUUUAUUGGGCGUAAAGCGAGCGCAGGCGGUUUUUUAAGUCUGAUGUGAAAGCCCUCGGCUUAACCGAGGAAGCGCAUCGGAAACUGGGAAACUUGAGUGCAGAAGAGGACAGUGGAACUCCAUGUGUAGCGGUGAAAUGCGUAGAUAUAUGGAAGAACACCAGUGGCGAAGGCGGCUGUCUGGUCUGUAACUGACGCUGAGGCUCGAAAGCAUGGGUAGCGAACAGGAUUAGAUACCCUGGUAGUCCAUGCCGUAAACGAUGAAUGCUAGGUGUUGGAAGGGUUUCCGCCCUUCAGUGCCGCAGCUAACGCAUUAAGCAUUCCGCCCGGGGGAGUACGACCGCAAGGUUGAAAACUCAGAGGAAUUGACGGGGGGCCCGCACAAGCGGUGGAAGCAUGGGGGUUUAAAUUCGAAGCAACGCCGAAGAAACCUUACCAGGUC
This 968-nucleotide ribosomal RNA is filed under the name Lacticaseibacillus casei. RNAcentral describes it as "bacterial SSU rRNA". It matches the Rfam family "Bacterial small subunit ribosomal RNA", at positions 57 to 980 of the family's 1533-position model. Lineage: Bacteria; Bacillati; Bacillota; Bacilli; Lactobacillales; Lactobacillaceae. The record is from RNAcentral.